GGAGUCCCAUCAGGAAAAAGCCUAACCAGCAGUCCUGUAGCUAGUUCUUGGAGGUUAUUCGGUAACGAAAAACUUUAAGCGUAGAACGGCAAAAUAGCGGGCCGAAAGCGAAAGCUGAAGUGAUGGAGCCUCGAAAAUAUAAGUGGAGACAGGCCGAUGUGGUUACACACACAGAAGGCAAUAUCGGUUCGAGCGUUUUGGUGAGUUUGAAUCGGCACUCCGGGGUCUGAGAGCU
Paenibacillus popilliae ATCC 14706 is the source of this 235-nucleotide non-coding RNA. The record is from Rfam. Lineage: Bacteria; Bacillati; Bacillota; Bacilli; Caryophanales; Paenibacillaceae.